UAUAUCGGAACGUGCCCGGUCGUGGGGGAUAACGUAGCGAAAGCUACGCUAAUACCGCAUACGAUCUACGGAUGAAAGCGGGGAUCGCAAGACCUCGCGCGAUUGGAGCGGCCGAUAUCAGAUUAGGUAGUUGGUGAGGUAAAGGCUCACCAAGCCGACGAUCUGUAGCUGGUCUGAGAGGACGACCAGCCACACUGGGACUGAGACACGGCCCAGACUCCUACGGGAGGCAGCAGUGGGGAAUUUUGGACAAUGGGCGCAAGCCUGAUCCAGCAAUGCCGCGUGCAGGAUGAAGGCCUUCGGGUUGUAAACUGCUUUGUACGGAACGAAACGGUGAGCUCUAAUACAGUUUGCUAAUGACGGUACCGUAAGAAUAAGCACCGGCUAACUACGUG
This 395-nucleotide ribosomal RNA is filed under the name uncultured bacterium. RNAcentral describes it as "bacterial SSU rRNA". It matches the Rfam family "Bacterial small subunit ribosomal RNA", at positions 114 to 507 of the family's 1533-position model. The record is from RNAcentral.